CUCUUAGCCCAUCUAGCCAAGCAACCAGGACGCAGGUGACAUGGCCAGAGAAAGGACAUCUCUCAACAAAGUCCCAGAAUGAAGGUACCUACAGGGUCCCGUUUGACUGAUUCUCAUGGGACUUCUAAAAAGAAAGCAUCAAGCUUGAAUGGGUCCCGGAUGGAAAGUGGGCCAAAUGGUAACAAGCCCCACCCCAUGGGUGUAUCACGGGGGAUACACGUGAUUGAGCCCCCAGAAGACCCUCAGUAAAGGGUGGUCAUCCCUGCUACCACUGCAGCAUAUGGAUGGACUAAGACAGAUGCCAAGGCCUUGACUGAUGUCAGCUGACCCAGUUACAACGCGUCAGAGGUCAGCUCUGUGAAACAGAUCAUGCAGUGAUCACUGCGGCCCAGGGGCAGCCAGACAGCCCAAGAGAGAUGGGAGACGAGGCUCCACCCACCCGGACCUGCUGGGAUUCAGCACUCCCAUCUUUCACUGCUG
Molecule: non-coding RNA, 480 nt
Organism: Odocoileus virginianus texanus
Lineage: Eukaryota; Metazoa; Chordata; Mammalia; Artiodactyla; Cervidae
Source: RefSeq, a predicted model, not a curated record